GGGAGUAUAGCUCAGUGAUAAAGCAUUCGACUGCAGCUCGAGAGGUCCCUGGUUCGAAUUCAGGUGCUCCUU
This 72-nucleotide transfer RNA is filed under the name Stegodyphus mimosarum. It matches the Rfam family "tRNA". Rfam says of the family: Transfer RNA (tRNA) molecules are approximately 80 nucleotides in length. Their secondary structure includes four short double-helical elements and three loops (D, anti-codon, and T loops). The record is from Rfam by way of RNAcentral. Lineage: Eukaryota; Metazoa; Arthropoda; Arachnida; Araneae; Eresidae.